This 218-nucleotide ribosomal RNA is filed under the name uncultured bacterium. Its description in RNAcentral is "partial 16S ribosomal RNA". It matches the Rfam family "Bacterial small subunit ribosomal RNA", at positions 30 to 247 of the family's 1533-position model. The record is from RNAcentral.
AUUGAACGCUGGCGGCAUGCCUUACACAUGCAAGUCGAACGGCAGCACGGGAGCAAUCCUGGUGGCGAGUGGCGAACGGGUGAGUAAUAUAUCGGAACGUGCCCAGUGAUGGGGGAUAGCCCGGCGAAAGCCGGAUUAAUACCGCAUACGACCUACGGGUGAAAGCAGGGGAGUCGCAAGACCUUGCGUCAUUGGAGCGGCCGAUAUCAGAUUAGCUU